AGUGAACGCUGGCGGUAUGCCUAACACAUGCAAGUCGAACGGCAGCACAGUAAGAGCUUGCUCUUACGGGUGGCGAGUGGCGGACGGGUGAGGAAUACAUCGGAAUCUACUUUUUCGUGGGGGAUAACGUAGGGAAACUUACGCUAAUACCGCAUACGACCUACGGGUGAAAGCAGGGGAUCUUCUGACCUUGCGCGAUUGAAUGAGCCGAUGUCGGAUUAGCUAGUUGGCGGGGUAAAGGCCCACCAAGGCGACGAUCCGUAGCUGGUCUGAGAGGAUGAUCAGCCACACUGGAACUGAGACACGGUCCAGACUCCUACGGGAGGCAGCAGUGGGGAAUAUUGGACAAUGGGCGAAAGCCUGAUCCAGCAAUACCGCGUGGGUGAAGAAGGCCUUCGGGUUGUAAAGCCCUUUUGUUGGGAAAGAAAAGCAGCAGGUUAAUACCCCGCUGUUCUGACGGUACCCAAAGAAUAAGCACCGGCUAACUUCGUG
This 492-nucleotide ribosomal RNA is filed under the name uncultured bacterium. RNAcentral describes it as "partial 16S ribosomal RNA". It matches the Rfam family "Bacterial small subunit ribosomal RNA", at positions 29 to 507 of the family's 1533-position model. The record is from RNAcentral.